UUUUUUAAAUUUUUCAGACCUGAACAUUGACAUUUUGAACGCACACUGCGGCCCUAGGACUUGUUCCUGGGCCCCACCCGAACGAGGGUGGGGUGACCAAAAUCAAAGACCAGACUGUCC
This 120-nucleotide ribosomal RNA is filed under the name Scirtothrips dorsalis. RNAcentral's name for it is "partial 5.8S ribosomal RNA". The record is from RNAcentral. Lineage: Eukaryota; Metazoa; Arthropoda; Insecta; Thysanoptera; Thripidae.